UCUCUGACUCUCUGUGUUUAGUAGACAAAAAAGUCAUAAAAAAAAAAAAAAACCCUAUUAGCGUUUUUUCUCUGCAACAACUGAAACGAUUCGAUCUCAGCAAUGGCUAACAUUAAUCUCCCCCGACGAAUAAUCAAGGAAACUCAACGUUUCGUUAGUGAACCAGCUCCCGGGACAAGUGCUUCACCAUCGGAGGAUAAUAUGCGGUACUUCAAUUUGAUGACUUUUGGCCCAACACAAUCGCCAUAAGAAGGCAACCCAAAACUCAGUGAAGAUAAGGUGAAGCAAUGCGUUGACACCAAAUUAUAUGGAGAUUAGCCUCCUAAGGCAGUUGAAGAGGCACUGAAGAUGGUAACUUUGGAUGAAAAUAAUACAUCAAAUUCGAGGUUUCUUGGUGGAAGAGCAAAAGAUUGUAAAGAAGGUUUUUAAUCUCCAAAAAGCAAAGGAAAAACAAACUUCAAGGAGCUAGAAAGUGGGAGGGUGAAAGCAAAACUUUUUGGAUUUUAAGAAAUGAAUGAGAAACUGGAAAAGUUGUUUUCUUUGUUUUGAAUUCCCUGUUUUUAUUGGGUUUGAAUUGACAAAAUUUCUUUUAUAUAUAUAUAUAUAUAUAUAUAUGCAUUGUUAAUUUACAGUUUGGAUUCUUACUUUAGCAAAUCAGUAAUGCUAAGUUGCUAAUGCCGUGUUGUUGUUAUUUUCUUGCUGCCGUGUGGGCUGUUGUGGUGGUGUGUGUUGAUCUUGCUGGUGUGGGUGUUUUUUUUAGCCUUUUAAUGCUGCUGCUGUGAGUU
Pistacia vera is the source of this 785-nucleotide long non-coding RNA. RefSeq lists it as uncharacterized. NCBI's taxonomy places the organism in Eukaryota, Viridiplantae, Streptophyta, Magnoliopsida, Sapindales, Anacardiaceae. The transcript has 4 exons. The record is from RefSeq and is a predicted model, not a curated record.